CCCUAGCCCCGAUUGCAGCGAAAAUCCUUUUUUGAGCUUCUUUAGCGAAAAAAAGAUUGUAGUGGAAAGCGGGAACAGCU
This 80-nucleotide small RNA is filed under the name Flavobacterium noncentrifugens. Its description in RNAcentral is "Flavo-1 RNA". It matches the Rfam family "Flavo-1 RNA". The record is from Rfam by way of RNAcentral. Lineage: Bacteria; Pseudomonadati; Bacteroidota; Flavobacteriia; Flavobacteriales; Flavobacteriaceae.